GGUCUGUGUGAGAGUUGUGCAUGUUCC
Molecule: non-coding RNA, 27 nt
Filed under: Bombyx mori (domestic silkworm)
Lineage: Eukaryota; Metazoa; Arthropoda; Insecta; Lepidoptera; Bombycidae
Source: RNAcentral